RNAcentral lists this ribosomal RNA (738 nucleotides) under Staphylococcus aureus. RNAcentral's name for it is "partial 23S ribosomal RNA". It matches the Rfam family "Bacterial large subunit ribosomal RNA", at positions 1157 to 1896 of the family's 2925-position model. The record is from RNAcentral. Lineage: Bacteria; Bacillati; Bacillota; Bacilli; Caryophanales; Staphylococcaceae.
CACUGCGCCGAAAAUGUACCGGGGCUAAACAUAUUACCGAAGCUGUGGAUUGUCCUUUGGACAAUGGUAGGAGAGCGUUCUAAGGGCGUUGAAGCAUGAUCGUAAGGACAUGUGGAGCGCUUAGAAGUGAGAAUGCCGGUGUGAGUAGCGAAAGACGGGUGAGAAUCCCGUCCACCGAUUGACUAAGGUUUCCAGAGGAAGGCUCGUCCGCUCUGGGUUAGUCGGGUCCUAAGCUGAGGCCGACAGGCGUAGGCGAUGGAUAACAGGUUGAUAUUCCUGUACCACCUAUAAUCGUUUUAAUCGAUGGGGGGACGCAGUAGGAUAGGCGAAGCGUGCGAUUGGAUUGCACGUCUAAGCAGUAAGGCUGAGUAUUAGGCAAAUCCGGUACUCGUUAAGGCUGAGCUGUGAUGGGGAGAAGACAUUGUGUCUUCGAGUCGUUGAUUUCACACUGCCGAGAAAAGCCUCUAGAUAGAAAAUAGGUGCCCGUACCGCAAACCGACACAGGUAGUCAAGAUGAGAAUUCUAAGGUGAGCGAGCGAACUCUCGUUAAGGAACUCGGCAAAAUGACCCCGUAACUUCGGGAGAAGGGGUGCUCUUUAGGGUUAACGCCCAGAAGAGCCGCAGUGAAUAGGCCCAAGCGACUGUUUAUCAAAAACACAGGUCUCUGCUAAACCGUAAGGUGAUGUAUAGGGGCUGACGCCUGCCCGGUGCUGGAAGGUUAAGAGGAGUGGUUAGCUU